CAACCNGCCGACAACACUGGGAUAGCCUUUCGAAAGAAAGAUUAAUACCGGAUGGCAUAGUUUUCCCGCAUGGGAUAAUUAUUAAAGAAUUUCGGUUGUCGAUGGGGAUGCGUUCCAUUAGGCAGUUGGCGGGGUAACGGCCCACCAAACCAACGAUGGAUAGGGGUUCUGAGAGGAAGGUCCCCCACAUUGGAACUGAGACACGGUCCAAACUCCUACGGGAGGCAGCAGUGAGGAAUAUUGGUCAAUGGACGAGAGUCUGAACCAGCCAAGUAGCGUGAAGGAUGACUGCCCUAUGGGUUGUAAACUUCUUUUAUACGGGAAUAAAGUUAGCCACGUGUGGCUUUUUGUAUGUACCGUACGAAUAAGGAUCGGCUAACUCCGUGCCAGCAGCCGCGGUAAUACGGAGGAUCCAAGCGUUAUCCGGAUUUAUUGGGUUUAAAGGGAGCGUAGGUUGACAUAUAAGUCAGCUGUGAAAGUUUACGGCUCAACCGUGAAAUUGCAGUUGAUACUGUAUGUCUUGAGUGUACAAGAGGUGGGCGGAAUUCGUGGUGCAGCGGUGAAAUGCUUAGAUAUCACGAAGAACUCCGAUUG
RNAcentral lists this ribosomal RNA (594 nucleotides) under uncultured Bacteroidota bacterium. Its description in RNAcentral is "bacterial SSU rRNA". It matches the Rfam family "Bacterial small subunit ribosomal RNA", at positions 122 to 715 of the family's 1533-position model. Lineage: Bacteria; Pseudomonadati; Bacteroidota. The record is from RNAcentral.